GUCUGGGUGGCUCAGUCGGUUAAGUGUCCGAUUUAGGCUCGGGUCAUGAUCUUGUGGUUCAUGGGUUCGAGCCCCAUGUCAGGCU
This 85-nucleotide transfer RNA is filed under the name Felis catus (domestic cat). It matches the Rfam family "tRNA". From Rfam's summary of the family: Transfer RNA (tRNA) molecules are approximately 80 nucleotides in length. Their secondary structure includes four short double-helical elements and three loops (D, anti-codon, and T loops). Further hydrogen bonds mediate the characteristic L-shaped molecular structure. tRNAs have two regions of fundamental functional importance: the anti-codon, which is responsible for specific mRNA codon recognition, and the 3' end, to which the tRNAs corresponding amino acid is attached (by aminoacyl-tRNA synthetases). tRNAs cope with the degeneracy of the genetic code in two manners: having more than one tRNA (with a specific anti-codon) for a particular amino acid; and 'wobble' base-pairing, i.e. permitting non-standard base-pairing at the 3rd anti-codon position. The record is from Rfam by way of RNAcentral. Lineage: Eukaryota; Metazoa; Chordata; Mammalia; Carnivora; Felidae.